Molecule: long non-coding RNA, 2390 nt
Organism: Pyrus x bretschneideri (Chinese white pear)
Lineage: Eukaryota; Viridiplantae; Streptophyta; Magnoliopsida; Rosales; Rosaceae
Exons: 3
Source: RefSeq, a predicted model, not a curated record
AUUGCCUUGCCAUAUGUAGCUCUCUCUCUCACAGAAAAAAAAUGCAGAGGACCUUAUUCUGGGGAAACAUGAAAAGGUACAGGAGGAGAAGGCGUUACCGCAGACUAAGAAAUGCGGUUACUAAUGGGCAAAACGCGAUGGUUUCAAUGGGGAAACGUCUUAAGUUUGGGAAAAUUCGAGUGACCCCGAUGCUACAAAUAAAGGUGAAAUCGUCGAUAAUGCUCUUGAAAAAGUUUAGAAAUGCUUAUGUGGAAAUGAUGCUUUGUUUUGCUGGACGUGUUAUGCAGUUGAAUAAUGGCAUAUAAUGUUCACUUGUAUCAAAAGACUAAUGCUUCCCAGUUCUUAGCUUGAAAGCAAUAUAUAAAGUUUUUACAAUCAAGCUGAAGAAUAAUUUGUAUCCUUCUGUAUGUGUACGGAAAACAACUUCCCAGAGAAAAAGUUUCUCUAAGACUCCGUCUUCCCCAAGAUAUUGUGAAAGGAGAAAAGCGAGGAGUGCAUGAUGAAUAUUUUCAAUUUACUAGGGUGCUUUUAUAAUUUGGAAAAGAAGUUUUAAAAAUUAUUGAGUUCUUGCGAUUUUUUAUUUUUUUGGAAACACGAUGAGCAAUAUUGCAAGAUAGGAUGCUUUUUUUUUUUUUUUUUUUUUUGAAAGAUGAUGUUUAAUUUCUUUCGUAUGGUAAUAGGACAAGUUAAAAAUUCGGCAAUAAAAUGCGAGAUUACAACAUCUGUGAAAUUUUAUCACAAAGAAUUAUAUGUAUAAUUAGUAGUGGACAUUUUACUUUCUUUAACAUUUAAUUUAUAAGAAAAUAGAUUCGAUCGAGUUCAAGUGUAAAAUGGUGAUUAAACUACCUUAUCCGCCAAACCAAUUUAUUACUUGUGGCUAUAAUCAAACCAAAUCUUCCAAAACACGGUGGAUGCUGAUUGGUCUAUCUUGGCCUUGAAUUAUAUCCCUCUCCGUCUCUCACACCCUCAUAUCAACCGUGGAAAGACGAAGUUUAGGCAAGCUAGCAUGGAGUGGUACAGUUGCCAAAGGAGGAUAUCUUCGUCUAGUUCUAAGGGAUGCCCUUACCGCAGACUAGACAAUUUUGUAACGGCUUAUGAUGAGGAAGAGGACAAUGAGAGGAGUGCAGUUGUGUUGAGACAAGGACAGAUCAGUGAUCUCAACUUCAAGUACACAAAGAGGAGAGGGAUAUCGAAACUGCCACAGAAGAAAAUGUCGUCGAUCAUGCUUCUGAAAAGGUGUAGAGAUGCUUAUGUGGGAGUAAUGUAUAGGUUUGCUGAACAUGUUGUGCAGUUGAACGGUGGAAAUCCCUACUUAUAAAUGCUCCAUAGUCCUCACUUCUCAGCUCCGAAGUCGUUAAAAGUUCUACUUAAUCAAAUUAAGGACAAGUUUUAGUUUGUGGGUAUGUUGAUUUGGAUUAGGGCUCUUGUAUUAGAUUAGUGAUGUUUUACUUAAUUAUGUAUUUUGCAUAUAUUUAUGUUCAUGAAAUUCUAAUUAGCACUCCAAUAAAUCCAAUAUCAUGUUGAUUCUUUUUGAUAAACUUUCUGAAAAUCAGCGACUAAUUACAAUUACAUUACAUGUACACUUGGCCUGAUGAUUUUCAAACAAACAUUUUCUCUAAAGUUUUGUCCUUGUGUAUAGGUAAAUAUAUAAUUUACCUUGUGUAUGUAAUAUACCUUGUGAGCAGAAACGCAGGACCAAAUUCUGAGAUUCAUCAAGACUCUUGUCAACGUUUUGGUGAUCAAAAUCAAUUUUAUUUUAAAAUCAACUUGCUUUUGUCCAACGAACACUUGUGCUUUCCAAAAAAUAUCUUACAUCUUCUAGUUGCAGCUGCCAUGUUCACUCUGCAGCUAGGUUUGGUCACAGCAGCAGGUAUAAAUGAUAAUGGUCAUAAUUUUCGCACUCCAUUACUUUCUCUUUUUCGGUGUAGGAGAAAAAAUGAGAGUGCAAAAAUUGUUUUCAGAUCAUCACGACAUGAAUAUAAUUAGGGAACUGAGAGAACGGCGGUCACCGCCUCGUUAAUUUGAGUCCAAAAUCACCACUUGCAAACCAACAGCCGGUCAUGAGGGUACCUGCUCCUGAUCCUCCUGUUGAACAACCGCCUCCGGCUGGCACUCCUCCUCCUCCUCCUCCACGGCUUCCAAUCCCAAAUAACAACAAUUUUGCCUGAAUUUCUUCACAACAUUAAUUAAUUUUCUAAUUGCUAUGCUUUAAGCGCCAAAUGCAACGAAUAAGUAGUGAUUAAACUUAGUUGCUUGGUUCAUUAAAGAUUAAUAAGUCGGAAUACGGGGAUAAGAUUGCCAUGCAUGUAUUGUAGGUUUUCCGUUUUAUUUGCUUUUAUUAAUAAACGCAGUUUCCUUGCUGAUUUUCUUGUCACGGAUCAGCUAACCAA